UUAUCCGAGGAGCGUUGCAGCGCCGGCAGGCGUGAGGCUCGGAUCCACAUCGCAACCACGCUCACCCGCU
This 70-nucleotide non-coding RNA is filed under the name Variovorax sp. Its description in RNAcentral is "SAH sequence". It matches the Rfam family "SAH (S-adenosyl-L-homocysteine) riboswitch aptamer". The record is from RNAcentral. Lineage: Bacteria; Pseudomonadati; Pseudomonadota; Betaproteobacteria; Burkholderiales; Comamonadaceae.